UUAAAAACGGUUCUGUGAAAGUGACACGAACCGAUCUCCAUCGAUGUUACUCACCGAUCUCCUUCACGGUAAUACGCAGCGAGAGAGCGUUGCCGCAGGCAACGACCCGUAGGGCGAAGCGCGCAGCGCUGAGUAAUCCUUCCCCCACCACCA
This 153-nucleotide small RNA is filed under the name Escherichia coli. RNAcentral's name for it is "RtT sRNA". It matches the Rfam family "RtT RNA". From Rfam's summary of the family: This family represents a bacterial cis-regulatory element known as RtT RNA. The exact function of RtT is unknown although it is thought that it may be involved in changing the cellular response in relation to amino acid starvation. Lineage: Bacteria; Pseudomonadati; Pseudomonadota; Gammaproteobacteria; Enterobacterales; Enterobacteriaceae. The record is from RNAcentral.